CUGGCGGCGUGCCUAAUACAUGCAAGUCGAACGGUCUUUCUAUGGAAGCUUGCUUCCACUGAGAAGAUAGUGGCGAACGGGUGAGUAACACGUGGGUAACCUGCCCAUAAGAGGGGGAUAACAUCCGGAAACGGGUGCUAAUACCGCAUAGUUUUCUUGAUUGCAUGAUUGAGAAAGGAAAGACGGCCUUUGUGCUGUCGCUUAUGGAUGGACCCGCGGCGUAUUAGUUAGUUGGUGAGGUAACGGCUCACCAAGACGAUGAUACGUAGCCGACCUGAGAGGGUGAUCGGCCACAUUGGGACUGAGACACGGCCCAAACUCCUACGGGAGGCAGCAGUAGGGAAUCUUCCGCAAUGGACGAAAGUCUGACGGAGCAACGCCGCGUGAGUGAAGAAAGGUUUUCGGAUCGUAAAACUCUGUUGUCAGAGAAGAACAAGUUGGAGAGUAACUGCUCCAGCCUUGACGGUAUCUGACCAGAAAGCCACGGCUAACUACGUGCCAGCAGCGGC
RNAcentral lists this ribosomal RNA (509 nucleotides) under uncultured bacterium. RNAcentral describes it as "bacterial SSU rRNA". It matches the Rfam family "Bacterial small subunit ribosomal RNA", at positions 36 to 518 of the family's 1533-position model. The record is from RNAcentral.